This 568-nucleotide ribosomal RNA is filed under the name uncultured bacterium. RNAcentral describes it as "partial 16S ribosomal RNA". It matches the Rfam family "Bacterial small subunit ribosomal RNA", at positions 355 to 913 of the family's 1533-position model. The record is from RNAcentral.
UGGGGAAUAUUGCACAAUGGGCGCAAGCCUGAUGCAGCCAUGCCGCGUGUGUGAAGAAGGCCUUCGGGUUGUAAAGCACUUUCAGCGAGGAGGAAGGUGGUGAGCUUAAUACGCUCAUCAAUUGACGUUACUCGCAGAAGAAGCACCGGCUAACUCCGUGCCAGCAGCCGCGGUAAUACGGAGGGUGCAAGCGUUAAUCGGAAUUACUGGGCGUAAAGCGCACGCAGGCGGUUUGUUAAGUCAGAUGUGAAAUCCCCGGGCUCAACCUGGGAACUGCAUUUGAAACUGGCAAGCUAGAGUCUCGUAGAGGGGGGUAGAAUUCCAGGUGUAGCGGUGAAAUGCGUAGAGAUCUGGAGGAAUACCGGUGGCGAAGGCGGCCCCCUGGACGAAGACUGACGCUCAGGUGCGAAAGCGUGGGGAGCAAAACAGGAUUAGAUACCCUGGUAGUCCACGCUGUAAACGAUGUCGAUUUUGGAGGUUGUGCCCUUGAGGCGUGGCUUCCGGAGCUAACGCGUUAAAUCGACCGCCUGGGGAGUACGGCCGCAAGGUUAAAACUUAAAUGAAUUGC